ACUUUUGUCCGGAAAGAAAUCCUUGGUUCUAAUAUAGCCGGGGGAUGACGGUACCGGAAGAAUAAGCACCGGCUAACUACGUGCCAGCAGCCGCGGUAAUACGUAGGGUGCGAGCGUUAAUCGGAAUUACUGGGCGUAAAGCGUGCGCAGGCGGUUUGCUAAGACCGAUGUGAAAUCCCCGGGCUCAACCUGGGAACUGCAUUGGUGACUGGCAGGCUAGAGUAUGGCAGAGGGGGGUAGAAUUCCACGUGUAGCAGUGAAAUGCGUAGAGAUGUGGAGGAAUACCGAUGGCGAAGGCAGCCCCCUGGGCCAAUACUGACGCUCAUGCACGAAAGCGUGGGGAGCAAACAGGAUUAGAUACCCUGGUAGUCCA
RNAcentral lists this ribosomal RNA (373 nucleotides) under Burkholderia pyrrocinia. RNAcentral describes it as "bacterial SSU rRNA". It matches the Rfam family "Bacterial small subunit ribosomal RNA", at positions 432 to 797 of the family's 1533-position model. Lineage: Bacteria; Pseudomonadati; Pseudomonadota; Betaproteobacteria; Burkholderiales; Burkholderiaceae. The record is from RNAcentral.